RNAcentral lists this long non-coding RNA (280 nucleotides) under Homo sapiens (human). RNAcentral describes it as "HSALNT0224266". Lineage: Eukaryota; Metazoa; Chordata; Mammalia; Primates; Hominidae. The record is from RNAcentral.
UAGGAUGAAUGAGAUGAUGUAUGAAAAGAGCUUAACACAUCAGACACAAGGUAGAGGUUCUCUAAGCAUUACCUGUUCUAAUAAAAUUAUUAGACAAUGUGACUUUUGAAUCAUAACAAGGGUAGUAAAUAGCAUUUAACAGCAGUAUUUCCCAAACUGUACUCUAUGGAACAUUAUUCUGCCAAAUAGUAACAUUUGUUAUUUUUUUAAAAAUGUUCUUGAAUAGGUCUGAAAACUACUAAUGAACAUACUGUUGGAACUCUCAGCACUGUUUUUAUUU